Molecule: long non-coding RNA, 285 nt
Organism: Dromaius novaehollandiae (emu)
Lineage: Eukaryota; Metazoa; Chordata; Aves; Casuariiformes; Dromaiidae
Exons: 3
Source: RefSeq, a predicted model, not a curated record
AGACGCGGCGCUGUAUAAAGGGGGGCGGGGCGCGGCCCUCCGUCUCUCUCUCCGCCGCGGGGCCGCCAUGGACACGAGCCGCGUGCAGCCCAUCAAGCUCGCCCGGGUGACCAAGGUGCUGGGCCGGACCGGCUCGCAGGGGCAGUGCACGCAGGUGACGAAAGCCUUAUUGCAUUUGCUCAGAGCUGCUCGUUGACAUCUGCUCUGCCGGACAUGGAUCACAGAAGAAGAAGAAGAUGGCGUUUUGAGUUAAUACAAUAAAAUCUGGGUUUUUUUUUUCCAGUA